Homo sapiens (human) is the source of this 454-nucleotide long non-coding RNA. Lineage: Eukaryota; Metazoa; Chordata; Mammalia; Primates; Hominidae. The record is from Ensembl.
ACACAUAUGUGAUAAGCCUCUUACCAUGGGCUGGCCCAGGGAGCAGUCAAUGGAUCAUGAAGAUGGAGGUGGUGGCUCAUGCCUGUUAAUCCCCACACUAUGAGAGGCUGAGGCAGGAGGAUCACUUGGGGCCAGUAGUUUGAGACCAGCCUGGGCAACAUGGCAAGACUCCAUCUCUACAAAAAAAUGCAAAAAGAAAUCAGUGGACCAUGAUGAGCUUAUCAUGGAACAUAAGAAAAAUAAAACAGAUGUCAGCCUGUGUAUGAAGAAUUCAUCCACAAGAUUUGCUCACUCUUCAAUUCUUUCCCGAGCAAAACCAAGAAUCUUCUUGGGCUAAGCCCCAAUUUGGGGUUCACCUGCCUUGCAGCAACAUGGCACCAAACAUGCGGCAGAAGAGAGAAAACGACAGCAUGAGAGACGGAGAAAGAAAUGGCCAGUUGGCAAGGUGGUAAUG